This 221-nucleotide unclassified non-coding RNA is filed under the name Hevea brasiliensis (rubber tree). The record is from RNAcentral. Lineage: Eukaryota; Viridiplantae; Streptophyta; Magnoliopsida; Malpighiales; Euphorbiaceae.
UGCUCUUAUUAAUUUCCAUAGUCUAUAAAUGGAGUAAUACUAAGCCUUGUCCAUACUUUAGGUUCCUCAUCAACCAAAUUUCAUGCAUAGACUGUUAUUGUCCCAAAACAAAUUGACAAACUACAGUUCUCACAGCCAGAGAAACCUGAAAUUUUUAGCAGAAUAAAUAUGACUUAUUAAUUUCCUUAAUUUUCCAUUUUACUAUGUUUCGAAAAGCAGAA